AAACUAACAAGGAUUCCCUUAGUAGCGGCGAGCGAAGCGGGAUGAGCUCAAAUUUGAAAUCUGGCGUCUUUCAGGCGUCCGAGUUGUAAUCUAUAGAAGCGUUUUCUAUGCUGGACCGUGUCCAAGUCCCUUGGAACAGGGUAUCAAAGAGGGUGACAAUCCCGUACUUGACACGACCACCAGUGUUCUGUGAUACGUUUUCUACGAGUCGAGUUGUUUGGGAAUGCAGCUCAAAAUGGGUGGUAAAUUCCAUCUAAAGCUAAAUAUUGGCGAGAGACCGAUAGCGAACAAGUACCGUGAGGGAAAGAUGAAAAGCACUUUGGAAAGAGAGUUAAACAGUACGUGAAAUUGUUGAAAGGGAAACGAUUGAAGUCAGUCGUGUCUAUUGGUUUCAGCCGGUUCUGCCGGUGUAUUACCUUUAGACGGGUCAACAUCAGUUUUGGACGGCAGAUAAGAGCAGUUUGAAUGUAGCACCUCCGGGUGUGUUAUAGCUUUCUGUUGCAUAUGCUGUCUGAGACUGAGGACUGCAGCUCGCCUUUUAGGCCGGGGUUCGCCCACGUUCGAGCUUAGGAUGUUGACAUAAUGGCUUUAAACGACC
This 598-nucleotide ribosomal RNA is filed under the name Bullera sp. TY-286. RNAcentral describes it as "eukaryotic LSU rRNA". It matches the Rfam family "Eukaryotic large subunit ribosomal RNA", at positions 62 to 649 of the family's 3401-position model. Lineage: Eukaryota; Fungi; Basidiomycota; Tremellomycetes; Tremellales; Bulleraceae. The record is from RNAcentral.